Molecule: non-coding RNA, 2057 nt
Organism: Candidatus Liptonbacteria bacterium
Lineage: Bacteria; Candidatus Liptoniibacteriota
Source: Rfam
AUUCUAGAGGAUUUGAUCCUGGUCCAGGAUGAACGCUGGCGGUGUGGAUAAGGCAUGCAAGUCAAACGCUCUUGUGCGUGGCACAAGUAACCCACCAAGCUACACUAAUACAAAACUAAUCGACACUAAGUAAAUUUUAAAUUAGUGUUGGUUGGUUUAAUGUCGGUGGCCAUUAGUGGAUUACUCGCGCUGCGCGCGAGAGAGUGGCGAACGAGUUAGUAACACCCUAGGAACCUACCCUUGAGUCAGACAUAGCUUGCCGAAAGGCAAGGUAAUAUCUGAUGGUCUAGUAAUCGAUUUAUGUUCACAAGGUAGGAAAUCCUAAUUUCUAAUUUCUAAUUUCUAAACACGAUUGUUUAGGAUUUAGUGCUUAGGAUUUAGAAUUUCCAUCUUUAAGCGAAUAUAAAUCGGUUACUAGUAAAGAUGUAAAUCGCUCAAAGAUGGCCUUAGGUCCGAUCAGCUAGUUGGUAGGGUAACGGCCUACCAAGGCAAUGACCGGUAGGGGAGGUGAGAGCCUGGCCCCCAACGACGAGACUGAGACACGGCUCGUACUCCUACGGGAGGCAGUAGCCGAGAAUAUUCGACAAUGGACGAAAGUCUGAUCGAGCGACACCGCGUGCGGGAUGAAGGCCUUCGGGUUGUAAACCGCGGUAGUAGGGGAGAAAGCGCACCUCACUAAGGUGAGCUGCUCGUGGAGCUUGAAUCGUAAAGCGUGGAUCGUCGGCAUUAUUCGCAGACGUUUCACGAUAUGCGUUUCACGAUUCACGGAGCACAUCGCUUUAGCGAGGUGCGCUGAUUGUACCUUACGGAAAGAGNNNNNNNNNNNNNNNNNNNNNNAAAGAGGUGGGUAACUACGUGCCAGCACCAGCGGUAAUACGUAGACCUCAAGCGUUAUCCGGAUUUAUUGGGCGUAAAGAGCAUGUAGGAUGUUUUGUGCGUCUUUGGUUAAAUCCCACCGCCUAACGGUGGAACUGCCCGAGAUACGACAAAACUAGAGGGGGUUAGAGGUGCAUGGAACGCACGGUGUAGGGGUGAAAUCCGUUGAUAUCGUGCGGAACACCAAAGGCGAAGGCAGUGCACUGGGACCUUCCUGACUCUGAGAUGCGAAAGCGUGGGGAGCAAAAAGGAUUAGAUACCCUUGUAGUCCACGCCCUAAACGAUGCCCGCUUGGUGUUUCGAGUAUCGACCCUCGGAGUGCCGUAGCUAACGCGUUAAGCGGGCCGCCUGGGAAGUACGAGCGCAAGCUUAAAACUCAAAGGAAUAGACGGGGACUCGCACAAGCGGUGGAACAUGAGGUUUAAUUCGAUGCUAAGCGAGGAACCUUACCAGGGCUAGAAAUGUGUGUUGACGGCGUCGGGAAACCGGUGCCUUCUCUCAAGGACAAUACACUCAGGUGCUGCAUGGUUGUCGUCAGCUCGUGCUUUGAAGUGUUCCCUUAAGUGGGGUAACGAGCGCAACCCCUGCUCCGUGUUACACGUAUCACGGGGGACUGCCCAGCCCAAAGUCCGGAGGACUUUGGGAUAUAUCGAAAUUUCGACAUUUCGAAAUCUCCCAAAAACCUGUGGUUUUUGGGCUGGGAGGAAGGAGGGGAUGACGUCAAAUCCGCAUGGCCCUUUGAUGCCCUGGGCGACACUCGUGUUACAAUGGCCACGACAAUGGGUUGCCAACCCGCAAGGGGGAGCUAAUCCCAUCAAACGUGGCCCCAGUUCGGAUUGGGGGCUGAAACCCGCCCCCAUGAAGCCGGAAUCGCUAGUAAUCGCGGAUCAGCCACGCCGCGGUGAAUACGUUCUCGAGUCCUGUACUCACUGCCCGUCAAGCCAAGGAAGCCGGUAAUAGAUGAAGCCUCUCUCUUUGCGCGAGAGCGCAAAGAGCGCGGAAGUACGCGGAACGCACGCGGACUAACGCGGAAGAAAUUCCGCGCAGGUCAGCGUUAAGUCUGCGUCAGUCAGCGCUUUGUUCGUUCGCGAACAAAGAGAGGGGUUAAUCUAAGAUCGGUGACAUGGGCUAAGUCGUAACAAGGCACGCGUAGCGGAAGCUGUGCGUGGAUCAAUUAAACU